Molecule: long non-coding RNA, 1032 nt
Organism: Brienomyrus brachyistius
Lineage: Eukaryota; Metazoa; Chordata; Actinopteri; Osteoglossiformes; Mormyridae
Exons: 2
Source: RefSeq, a predicted model, not a curated record
UUUUUUUUUUGUUUAAAUCACUGCCGUGUGCCAGUUUUUAGGGAGAAACAGUGAGGCCGGCAGGCUGGUGUCCAGAGUAAGCGCGCCAUCCGGCAGGACAUGCAUGCGCUUCACUUUUUGGGGGGGCAGAGGAGAGGAGGGGUGCCCCCAGGGAAGAAGCCGCAGGCCCCUGGAUGGUACCCAAGCGCUCCCAAACUCCAACUGCGUCACACACCCAGUGACUGACACGGACAUUAUUCCUCCUGCUUGGCUUUCAGCGGCUGGCUUUUCCAAAAUGAAGUCAUUCUCUGGAGACUGGGAGAGCAGCGGGCACAGCAACUGGGCCAGAGUCACACGCUGCAAAUUCAUGCCGCAGUUUAUUCACUGACAGGAACUGGAAGCGACAGGACGGACCACACUGCAGUUUCCGUCCCAAUCAGCAGUAUUCAGGAGUGAAACACUCCGUUUCUUCAUAAAUCUGCAGGCUCCAGCGUUUAAGGCCGUCUGCGCAGUCGAGGCCUGUGGAAAGCAAACGCAGCCGAGAGCGAGCCGCCCCCAUAUCUGGCUCCCCUUCCCCGGCUGCUCCCUGCAAAUACGUUUUUUUUUGUCUGUAGGACUGAUGUAAAUAAUUGUAUUUAAUUCUAAUUGCAAAUAACGAGGGCCUGGAAAAUAGACAGGCCCCAUGCACCCGCAAAGACAUCCUGAAUGGGAGGAAAGCAGGAGGUGCAGCUCCUCAGGGUUUGCCAAGAGGACGGAGAUCAUCUGCCCCGAAAUAGCAGCAGUGUGUAACCAAGCAACACGCUAUACAGAAGGCUGGCACUCGACUUUAUUGCGUAUAACUACCAGCUAAAAUGAAAUAAAACGUGUUCAUUAUACAAAUACCCCCACUGCCUCAAAUUCAUACCUACUGAAACAUUUUUUUAAAAAAACCACUAUUUCAGGAUUCAUGUUUUCCAUUUUAAAAAGCAAAUCCAUUUGUGAUUAAUUAUUUCCUAUACAUCUAUUACUUUGGCAUUGAUUUAACUGCAAAUAAUAAAGCAGACUGGGACCUCU